This 534-nucleotide ribosomal RNA is filed under the name Salmonella enterica. Its description in RNAcentral is "partial 23S ribosomal RNA". It matches the Rfam family "Bacterial large subunit ribosomal RNA", at positions 1 to 574 of the family's 2925-position model. RNAcentral also lists the same sequence under 2 other names. The record is from RNAcentral. Lineage: Bacteria; Pseudomonadati; Pseudomonadota; Gammaproteobacteria; Enterobacterales; Enterobacteriaceae.
GGUUAAGCGACUAAGCGUACACGGUGGAUGCCCUGGCAGUCAGAGGCGAUGAAGGGCGUGCUAAUCUGCGAUAAGCGCCGGUAAGGUGAUAUGAACCGUUAUAACCGGCGAUACCCGAAUGGGGAAACCCAGUGUGACUCGUCACACUAUCAUUAACUGAAUCCAUAGGUUAAUGAGGCGAACCGGGGGAACUGAAACAUCUAAGUACCCCGAGGAAAAGAAAUCAACCGAGAUUCCCCCAGUAGCGGCGAGCGAACGGGGAGGAGCCCAGAGCCUGAAUCAGCAUGUGUGUUAGUGGAAGCGUCUGGAAAGGCGCGCGAUACAGGGUGACAGCCCCGUACACAAAAGCGCAUGUGCUGUGAGCUCGAUGAGUAGGGCGGGACACGUGGUAUCCUGUCUGAAUAUGGGGGGACCAUCCUCCAAGGCUAAAUACUCCUGACUGACCGAUAGUGAACCAGUACCGUGAGGGAAAGGCGAAAAGAACCCCGGCGAGGGGAGUGAAAAAGAACCUGAAACCGUGUACGUACAAGCAGU